CCUACGGGAGGCAGCAGUAAGGAAUAUUGGUCAAUGGACGCCAGUCUGAACCCACCAUGGCGGGGGGAGGAAGAAGGGCCUCUGGGUUGGAAACUUUUUUUACAGGGGAAGAAACACUUUUAUUCCUAGGAGCUUGGCGGGACCCUGGGAAUAAGCCCCGGCUAACUCCGUGGCCAGCAGCCGCGGUAAU
Molecule: ribosomal RNA, 190 nt
Filed under: uncultured Flexibacter sp.
Lineage: Bacteria; Pseudomonadati; Bacteroidota; Cytophagia; Cytophagales; Flexibacteraceae
Description: partial 16S ribosomal RNA
Rfam family: Bacterial small subunit ribosomal RNA
Source: RNAcentral